Molecule: long non-coding RNA, 527 nt
Organism: Cydia fagiglandana
Lineage: Eukaryota; Metazoa; Arthropoda; Insecta; Lepidoptera; Tortricidae
Exons: 3
Source: RefSeq, a predicted model, not a curated record
AUUGCCAAUAUACAAGUGUUUCUUUGGCAUAUGCAUUUCUGAAGUUUUUUUGCUAAUUAUUGAUUAUAUUGUAGGAAAUAAAACGCCCGUCCCAACUUCCACGAUCAGGAUUCAAAAACCUCAAACAGCGAAGGAAAAUGAAAAUCCUAAUAUUACGAAAAAAAACACGAAAGUGAAAAUUAACUCAAUUAUUACAGGAUUGGAUUACGGAACCGUGAAAGCCGAUGCCAUUUUUGAAAGCUGGUGCGACAAUCUACGCGCAUAAUCCGGUGACGACGAGGAUGAUGACUUAGAUAAUGAAGACAAACAGACUCCCGUCGACAUCAUAUCGGAAGAAUCCGCUUUUGUGUCCGCAAAUCUUCCUGGGGAUGCCCGCCAAUGGCUGGCAAACGAAGACGCAGAAGCAGACAAAGCUAUGUCGACUUUUGCUACCGACCAUUGACCAUUUGACAUUUGACUGGACAUGUGACCAUAAUUUAUUUAAAGGACAGCGAGACGUUGACAGCCACACCUGGACCUACAUUCAA